Triticum dicoccoides is the source of this 552-nucleotide long non-coding RNA. RefSeq lists it as uncharacterized. NCBI's taxonomy places the organism in Eukaryota, Viridiplantae, Streptophyta, Magnoliopsida, Poales, Poaceae. The transcript has 3 exons. The record is from RefSeq and is a predicted model, not a curated record.
AACUCAAUUGCGCAUGAAUUAAUGCUGCAAAUGCAACACCUCGAGUGUCACUAUGAUGUUUAACUGGAAAGCAACCUCCUCCUCCUGGACGGGAAUCCAACACCUCGAGUGAAAAUUUGCGACUUUGUUUACUCAAAGGUGUGAUAGUUAUGUUUCCUGGAUUGCUAGAGUUGAUAUGACUUUGACUACUUGAUCAAAUUAUGGCAUCAAGGUUUCAGUCUGAUUUGCUGCAUUCCAAACAAAAAAACAACCUUUGGUACUCCCAACAUACAUAGCACCCGAAGUUUUUCCGAGAAAAGAAUAACAAGGUUUAUUUAACCCUGACACACCUUGCCAUUGUCAUGAAAUAUGAUGCCGGUGGAGAACUCUUUAAAUGAAUAUGUACCGCAUGGUGAUUCAGUGAAGUUGAGGAAAGUUACUUCUUUCAGCAAUUACUUUCAGGGGUCAGCUACUGCCAUUCUCCAUGCUACGCUUUGCUUUUUGAAAAUCGUCAAAGGAAACAAAUGCAAAACUCAAUUGCGCAUGAAUUAAUGCUGCAAAUGCAACACCUCG